UCUUUUUGACAAAUCACACGCCUCUUCGUGGUGAAUAGCAGGCAACGCCGAUAAGGCGGCUAAGAUGUGAAU
Molecule: ribozyme, 72 nt
Filed under: unclassified sequences
Description: HDV ribozyme from F. prausnitzii
Rfam family: HDV ribozyme from F. prausnitzii
Source: RNAcentral